AGAUGUGAGGGUCGUCUGGCUGCGACAUCAGUCACCCCACUGAUCGCCCGGAUUGAUUUGGCUGAUCCGGCUGGCUAGGCGGGUGUCCCCUUCCUCUCUCACUGCUUCACGUGCAGCCCUCCCAGAGCUACGUGCUUGGUCAAGGAGGAAGACCUUCUCCCACAGAGGGCCAUUCUUCAGUCAAGGGUAAACAAGUAGCUGCACUUUCCUGCUAGAACCUUCGAACAAGCUCUCUAAAUAUGUUCCCACUUCAAACACUGUAUUUGUUUAUACAUGUAGCCAGAGUGGCUGGUAGUCAUCUGAGCUACGUUGGGCUUCUUUGCUAGAACAUCCCCUUCU
This is an unclassified non-coding RNA of Panthera pardus (leopard), 339 nucleotides long. Its record names the gene 7SK. It matches the Rfam family "7SK RNA". From Rfam's summary of the family: 7SK was discovered as an abundant small nuclear RNA in the mid-70s but a possible function has only recently been suggested. The record is from Ensembl. Lineage: Eukaryota; Metazoa; Chordata; Mammalia; Carnivora; Felidae.